AUGGAUCGCGCCGAGCUCACCACCGAGCAGGUUCUCAAGCGGGACAUUCCAUGGGAGACAUAUAUGUCAACUAAGCUGAUCACUUCGACAUGCCUUCAGCUUUUAAGGCGUUAUGAUCACAAACCAGAAAGUCAGAGAGGUCCGUUGCUUGAUGAGGAUGGGCCAUCGUAUGUUCGUGUUUUUUUGAAUAUUUUGCGAAGCAUCUCCAAGGAAGAGACUGUGGAAUAUGUGCUUGCCCUCAUUGAUGAGAUGCUUGCAGCGAAUCCUAAACGAGCAGCACUGUUCUACGACAACUCUCUCUCUGGUGAAGACAUUUACGAUCCUUUCCUAAGGUUGCUCUUGAAAGGUAACUGGUUCGUACAGGAGAAGAGCUGUAAGAUAUUAACUCACUUAAUAAGUGCGAGACCUAAGCUUCAGAACGGCAUGGUUCCAAAUGGAGAGGCUUCAAAUUCAAAGAGCAAGCUUACAUCAAUUCAUGAUGUGUUAAAGGGCUUAGUUGAUUGGCUCUGUUCUCAGCUCAGGAGCCCCACCCAUCCGAACUGUUCUAUUCCUACUGCUACCCAUUGUCUUGCCACUUUGCUGAGGGAGACAUAUGUUCGAACCUUAUUUGUUCAGGCAGAUGGUGUAAAACUGCUCAUUCCUUUGAUAUCUCCAGCCUCAACACAACAGUCAAUUCAGCUCCUCUACGAAACUUGCCUUUGUAUCUGGCUUUUAUCCUUCUAUGAUGCAGCCGUUGAUUAUUUGUCCACUACAAGGGUUAUGCCAAGACUUGUAGAUGUUGUCAAAGGCUCUACUAAAGAGAAGGUUGUCAGAGUUGUUGUCAUGUCCUUCCGCAAUUUGUUGGCAAAGGGUGCAUUUGCGGCCCAAAUGAUUGAUCUUGGGUUGCCGCAUAUAGUACAGAAUUUGAAAGCUCAAGCAUGGAGUGAUGAGGAUUUGUUAGAUGCAUUGAAUCAACUGGAAGUGGGUCUCAAAGAGAACCUAAAGAGGUUGAGCUCAUUUGAUAAGUACAAACAGCAAGUGCUUCUUGGCCAUCUUGAUUGGUCUCCAAUGCACAAAGACCCAAAUUUCUGGCGAGAAAAUAUCACCAACUUUGAGGAAAAUGAUUUCCAGAUCCUACGUGUCCUUAUGACAGUCAUCGACACAUCAACCGACACCACUGCUCUUGCGGUUGCCUGCUAUGACCUCUCACAGUUCCUUCAGUACCACCCUUCUGGCCGCUUAGUGGUGGCAGACCUCAAGGCGAAGGACCGAGUCAUGAAACUCAUGAACCACGACAAUGCCGAAGUUAGGAAGAACUCCCUGCUCUGCGUGCAGAGGCUCUUCCUUGGUGCCAAGUAUGCUAGCUUCCUGCAGGUUUAA
RNAcentral lists this ribosomal RNA (1359 nucleotides) under Triticum aestivum (bread wheat). RNAcentral describes it as "partial small subunit ribosomal RNA". The record is from RNAcentral. Lineage: Eukaryota; Viridiplantae; Streptophyta; Magnoliopsida; Poales; Poaceae.